Molecule: ribosomal RNA, 373 nt
Filed under: uncultured organism
Description: bacterial SSU rRNA
Rfam family: Bacterial small subunit ribosomal RNA
Source: RNAcentral
CAGAGGGUGCGAGCGUUGUUCGGAAUUACUGGGCGUAAAGCGCGCGCAGGCGGCUUUUUAAGUCCGUUGGUGAAAUGCCGGGGCUCAACCCCGUGCCCGCCAGGGAUACUGGAGAGCUGGAGACGAGUAGAGGCAAGCGGAAUUCCGGGUGUAGCGGUGGAAUGCGUAGAGAUCCGGAAGAACACCGGAGGCGAAGGCGGCUUGCUGGGCUCGGUCUGACGCUGAGGCGCGAAAGCGUGGGGAGCGAACAGGAUUAGAUACCCUGGUAGUCCACGCCGUAAACGAUGGGCACUAGACGCGGGAGGGAUCGACCCCUUCCGUGUCGAAGCUAACGCGAUAAGUGCCCCGCCUGGGGAGUACGGCCGCAAGGCUG